AUAACGGUCCUAAGGUAGCGAAAUUCCUUGUCGGGUAAGUUCCGACCUGCACGAAAGGCGCAACGACUUGGGCGCUGUCUCGACCAUGGACCCGGUGAAAUUGCACUGGUCGUGAAGAUGCGACUUACCCGCGGAAGGACGGAAAGACCCCGUGAACCUUCACUGCAGCUUGGCAUUGGCCGCUGGUCCCGCGUGUAGAGGAUAGGCAGGAGGCAUCGAUCCGGAGGCGCCAGCCCCCGGGGAGCCGCCCUUGGAAUACUGCCCUCGCGCGACCGGCGUCCUAACCCGAGGCCGUCAACCGGCUCGGGGACCGUGCCAGGCGGGCAGUUUGACUGGGGCGGUCGCCUCCUAAAGGGUAACGGAGGCGCGCGAAGGUCCGCUCGGGACGGUCGGCAACCGUCCUUUUGAAUGCAAGAGUACAAGCGGGCUUGACUGCGAGGCCCACAAGCCGAGCAGGUGCGAAAGCAGGCUCUAGUGAUCCGGCGGCCCCGAGUGGGUGGGCCGUCGCUCAACGGAUAAAAGGUACUCCGGGGAUAACAGGCUGAUCUUGCCCAAGAGUCCACAUCGACGGCAAGGUUUGGCACCUCGAUGUCGGCUCAUCGCAUCCUGGGGCUGAAGUAGGUCCCAAGGGUUGGGCUGUUCGCCCAUUAAAGCGGUACGCGAGCUGGGUUCAGAACGUCGUGAGACAGUUCGGUCCCUAUCCUCCGUGGGCGCAGGAGAAUCGAUGGAGGCUGCCCCCAGUACGAGAGGACCGGGGUGGACGCACCUCCGGUGAACCGGUUGUCGACCAACGGCACGGCCGGGUAGCCGCGUGCGGCGCGGAUAACCGCUGAAGGCAUCUAAGCGGGAAGCCGUUCCAGGGAUUAGUUCUCCUUCCGGUAAGGGCCCAGGUAGACUACCUGGUCGAUAGACGGCAGGUGCAAGGACGGCGACGUCCUCAGCCGAGCCGCACUAAUCGCCCGAGCUCUUCCGGAA
Molecule: ribosomal RNA, 975 nt
Filed under: human gut metagenome
Description: bacterial LSU rRNA
Rfam family: Bacterial large subunit ribosomal RNA
Source: RNAcentral